Molecule: non-coding RNA, 18 nt
Filed under: Arabidopsis thaliana (thale cress)
Lineage: Eukaryota; Viridiplantae; Streptophyta; Magnoliopsida; Brassicales; Brassicaceae
Source: RNAcentral
CCGCCCGUCGCUCCUACC